AUUGAACGCUGGCGGCAUGCUUUACACAUGCAAGUCGAACGGCAGCGCGGGGCAACCUGGCGGCGAGUGGCGCACGGGUGAGUAAUAUAUCGGAACGUACCCAGAAGUGGGGGAUAACGUAGCGAAAGUUACGCUAAUACCGCAUACGAUCUACGGAUGAAAGUAGGGGACCGCAAGGCCUUAUGCUCUUGGAGCGGCCGAUAUCUGAUUAGCUAGUUGGUGAGGUAAAGGCUCACCAAGGCGACGAUCAGUAGCUGGUCUGAGAGGACGACCAGCCACACUGGAACUGAGACACGGUCCAGACUCCUACGGGAGGCAGCAGUGGGGAAUUUUGGACAAUGGGCGCAAGCCUGAUCCAGCAAUGCCGCGUGAGUGAAGAAGGCCUUCGGGUUGUAAAGCUCUUUUGUCAGGGAAGAAACGGUAGAGGCUAAUAUCCUUUGCUAAUGACGGUACCUGAAGAAUAAGCACCGGCUAACUACGUG
Molecule: ribosomal RNA, 482 nt
Filed under: uncultured bacterium
Lineage: Bacteria
Description: partial 16S ribosomal RNA
Rfam family: Bacterial small subunit ribosomal RNA
Source: RNAcentral